UGCAACGUAGCUUAAUGGUAAAGCACUGAGCAUGCAUAAAAACUAGGAGACAGGGUAUGAGGGUUCGAAUCCAUCCGUUGCAA
RNAcentral lists this transfer RNA (83 nucleotides) under Aeriscardovia sp. RNAcentral's name for it is "tRNA-OTHER". It matches the Rfam family "tRNA". From Rfam's summary of the family: Transfer RNA (tRNA) molecules are approximately 80 nucleotides in length. Their secondary structure includes four short double-helical elements and three loops (D, anti-codon, and T loops). The record is from RNAcentral. Lineage: Bacteria; Bacillati; Actinomycetota; Actinomycetes; Bifidobacteriales; Bifidobacteriaceae.